RNAcentral lists this ribosomal RNA (888 nucleotides) under uncultured Enterobacteriaceae bacterium. Its description in RNAcentral is "bacterial SSU rRNA". The stretch from base 1 to 768 matches the Rfam family "Bacterial small subunit ribosomal RNA". Lineage: Bacteria; Pseudomonadati; Pseudomonadota; Gammaproteobacteria; Enterobacterales; Enterobacteriaceae. The record is from RNAcentral.
GACGAAUGCUGGCGGCGUGCCUAAUACAUGCAAGUAGAACGCACAGGAUGCACCGUAGUUUACUACACCGUAUUCUGUGAGUUGCGAACGGGUGAGUAACGCGUAGGUAACCUGCCUGGUAGCGGGGGAUAACUAUUGGAAACGAUUGCUAAUACCGCAUAAGAACAUUUACUGCAUGGUAGAUGUUUAAAAGGUGCAAAUGCAUCACUACCAGAUGGACCUGCGUUGUAUUAGCUAGUUGGUGAGGUAACGGCUCACCAAGGCAACGAUACAUAGCCGACCUGAGAGGGUGAUCGGCCACACUGGGACUGAGACUCGGCCCAUACUCCUACGGGAGGCAGCAUUAGGGAAUCUUCGGCUAUGGGGGGAACCCUGACCGAGCAACGCCGCGUGAUGAAAGAAGGUUUUCGGAGCGUAAAGCUCUGUUGUUAGGAAUAUGGUGUGUGAGAUUGGAUUUUCACACAUUGACUGUACUUAACCAGAAUGGGACGGCUAUGUACUUGCCAGCUGCCGCGGUUAUACUUAUGGUCCCGAGCGUUGUCCGGAUUUUUUUGGGCGUUGAGUGAUCGCAGGUGGUUAGAUGAUCUGAAUUGAAAUGCUGUGGCUCAACCAUGUGUAGGCUGUGGAAACUGUUAAGUUGAUGCAUAAGGGGAGAGGGGUAUGCCUGUGUAGCGUGUGAAAUGUGUGAUUGUUGGAGGACGCCGGUGCGUAUUGUUUCUGUGGUGUGUGCUUGGUGCUGAUGCUCGAAGUGUGGGUAUCACAGAUAUUGGUGCGUGUGUUCGUGUGGAUGUCGGAUGUGAUGUUGUGUUGUGUUGCGUGGACUUGGGGUGAGAAUGGUACUAUCUUUUUGCUCUUAUGAGUGUAUUAGUGGUGGAUGGUGUGUGUGUG